RNAcentral lists this transfer RNA (71 nucleotides) under Loxodonta africana (African savanna elephant). It matches the Rfam family "tRNA". From Rfam's summary of the family: Transfer RNA (tRNA) molecules are approximately 80 nucleotides in length. Their secondary structure includes four short double-helical elements and three loops (D, anti-codon, and T loops). The record is from Rfam by way of RNAcentral. Lineage: Eukaryota; Metazoa; Chordata; Mammalia; Proboscidea; Elephantidae.
ACAGUGGUAGUUCAGUGAUAGAAUUCUCAUCUUCUACAAGGGAGACCUGGGUUUGAUUCCCAGCAAAGGUA